UACGUAGGGUGCAAGCGUUGUCCGGAAUUAUUGGGCGUAAAGAGCUCGUAGGCGGUUUGUUGCGUCGGCUGUGAAAUCCCGAGGCUCAACCUCGGGUCUGCAGUCGAUACGAGCAAACUAGAGUGUUGCAGGGGAGACUGGAAUUCCUGGUGUAGCGGUGAAAUGCGUAGAUAUCCGGAAGAACACCGGAGGCGAAGGCGGCUUGCUGGGCGUGAUCUGACGCUGAGGCGCGAAAGCGUGGGGAGCAAACAGG
RNAcentral lists this ribosomal RNA (253 nucleotides) under uncultured bacterium. Its description in RNAcentral is "partial 16S ribosomal RNA". It matches the Rfam family "Bacterial small subunit ribosomal RNA", at positions 524 to 776 of the family's 1533-position model. The record is from RNAcentral.